CAGGGAGACAACAAAAUGUUUAAUAUUAUUAUUUUGUCACCUUAGGUCGAUCGGUAUCUCACGUUUUUAAUUUAUUAAGAAUUUCAUUUCCUAAGUUUUUUCUAGGUCACACCCAUUAUUUUCCUGGGCCAUUAGCUCAGGUGGUUAGAGCGCACCCCUGAUAAGGGUGAGGUCCCUGGUUCAAGUCCAGGAUGGCCCAUAUCUCUAUGUUGGGGGUAUAGCUCAGUUGGUAGAGCGCCUGCUUUGCAAGCAGGAUGUCAGCGGUUCGAGUCCGCUUACCUCCACUGAUUACCACCUCUUCCAUAAUUUAUGAGAAGGAAAAGUUUUGGGUAGUGAUCACAUUCUGAACGAAGACAGCUUCCUAAUGAAAUCAUUAAGAUGCUGGACUCAUUGAAUUACUUUCAUUGUUUUCAGAGAACCUUGACAACUGCAUAGAUUAUUUUUAAAGACAAUAAGCAUCUUUGAUGAUGCAGAUUUAUUAUUUGUGCGAAUGCAUUAAUAACAAUUCUAUUAAGCUGAUGCUUCAAUUUUUGAAGUUAUU
This 541-nucleotide transfer RNA is filed under the name uncultured cyanobacterium. RNAcentral's name for it is "partial 16S-23S ribosomal RNA intergenic spacer". The stretch from base 212 to 284 matches the Rfam family "tRNA". Lineage: Bacteria; Bacillati; Cyanobacteriota. The record is from RNAcentral. RNAcentral also lists the same sequence under 1 other name.